UGCCAGCAGCCGCGGUAAUACGGAGGGUGCAAGCGUUAUCCGGAAUUACUGGGUUUAAAGGGUGCGUAGGCGGCGAUAUAAGUCAGAAGUGAAAGUUGGCGGCUCAACCGCAAAAUUGCUUUUGAUACUGUAUUGCUUGAAUCACGUUGAGGUUGGCGGAAUGUGGCAUGUAGCGGUGAAAUGCAUAGAUAUGCCAUAGAACACCAAUUGCGAAGGCAGCUUACUGGACGUGUAUUGACGCUGAGGCACGAAAGCGUGGGGAGUGAACAGGAUUAGAUA
RNAcentral lists this ribosomal RNA (279 nucleotides) under uncultured bacterium. RNAcentral describes it as "partial 16S ribosomal RNA". It matches the Rfam family "Bacterial small subunit ribosomal RNA", at positions 506 to 784 of the family's 1533-position model. The record is from RNAcentral.